AAUCUGCCUUCAGGACGGAGACAACAGUUGGAAACGACUGCUAAGCCCCGAUGUACCGAAAGGGAAAAUAUUUAUAGCCUGAAGAUGAGCUCGCGUCCGAUUAGCUAGUUGGCGGAGUAAAAGCCCACCAAGGCGACGAUCGGUAGCUGGUCUGAGAGGACGAUCAGCCACACUGGGACUGAGACACGGCCCAGACUCCUACGGGAGGCAGCAGUGGGGAAUUUUCCGCAAUGGGCGAAAGCCUGACGGAGCAAGACCGCGUGGGG
This 266-nucleotide ribosomal RNA is filed under the name uncultured bacterium. Its description in RNAcentral is "partial 16S ribosomal RNA". It matches the Rfam family "Bacterial small subunit ribosomal RNA", at positions 123 to 406 of the family's 1533-position model. The record is from RNAcentral.